GACGAACGCUGGCGGCGUGCCUAAUACAUGCGAGUAGAACGCUGAAGGAGGAGCUUGCUCUUCUGGAUGAGUUGCGAACGGGUGAGUAACGCGUAGGUAACCUGCCUGGUAGCGGGGGAUAACUAUUGGAAACGAUAGCUAAUACCGCAUAACAGUAGAUGUUGCAUGACAUUUACUUAAAAGGUGCAAUUGCAUCACUACCAGAUGGACCCGCGUUGUAUUAGCUAGUUGGUGGGGUAACGGCUCACCAAGGCGACGAUACAUAGCCGACCUGAGAGGGUGAUCGGCCACACUGGGACUGAGACACGGCCCAGACUCCUACGGGAGGCAGCAGUAGGGAAUCUUCGGCAAUGGACGGAAGUCUGACCGAGCAACGCCGCGUGAGUGAAGAAGGUUUUCGGAUCGUAAAGCUCUGUUGUAAGAGAAGAACGAGUGUGAGAGUGGAAAGUUCACACUGUGACGGUAUCUUACCAGAAAGGGACGGCUAACUACGUG
Molecule: ribosomal RNA, 495 nt
Filed under: uncultured bacterium
Lineage: Bacteria
Description: partial 16S ribosomal RNA
Rfam family: Bacterial small subunit ribosomal RNA
Source: RNAcentral